Molecule: non-coding RNA, 24 nt
Filed under: Arabidopsis thaliana (thale cress)
Lineage: Eukaryota; Viridiplantae; Streptophyta; Magnoliopsida; Brassicales; Brassicaceae
Source: RNAcentral
GCUUGUAGUUAUGUGGGAAGCAGU